GAUGAACGCUGACAGAAUGCUUAACACAUGCAAGUCAACUUGAAUUUGGGUUUUUAACUUAGGUUUGGGUGGCGGACGGGUGAGUAACGCGUAAAGAACUUGCCUCACAGCUAGGGACAACAUUUGGAAACGAAUGCUAAUACCUAAUAUUAUGAUAAUAGGGCAUCCUAUAAUUAUGAAAGCUAUAAGCGCUGUGAGAGAGCUUUGCGUCCCAUUAGCUAGUUGGAGAGGUAACGGCUCACCAAGGCGAUGAUGGGUAGCCGGCCUGAGAGGGUGAUCGGCCACAAGGGGACUGAGACACGGCCCUUACUACUACGGGAGGCAGCAGUGGGGAAUAUUGGACAAUGGACCGAGAGUCUGAUCCAGCAAUUCUGUGUGCACGAUGAAGUUUUUCGGAAUGUAAAGUGCUUUCAGUUGGGAAGAAACAAAUGACGGUACCAACAGAAGAAGUGACGGCUAAAUACGUG
Molecule: ribosomal RNA, 467 nt
Filed under: uncultured bacterium
Lineage: Bacteria
Description: partial 16S ribosomal RNA
Rfam family: Bacterial small subunit ribosomal RNA
Source: RNAcentral